RNAcentral lists this unclassified non-coding RNA (2659 nucleotides) under Haliotis rubra (blacklip abalone). RNAcentral describes it as "aminopeptidase O-like, transcript variant X2". Lineage: Eukaryota; Metazoa; Mollusca; Gastropoda; Lepetellida; Haliotidae. The record is from RNAcentral.
AAGUUCAGCAAGCGAAAGCCUGUUGACAGUCGCCCUUCGUUCAUCUCUCGAACAGUGUCGUCACUAUUUCAUUUCAGUUAACAGCCGACUAACUUUGAAAUUCAUGCGAAUAGUAAAUAAGGAAGGAUAAGUAAAAUAUGGGACAAACAGCUAAAUUUACUGCAGAUAAACACAUUUUGCUUCAGGAGAUAUGAAUAAACACGAUUGCUUUAAUCGGUGCUUUAUGUUUUCGAUUGAUUAACUCAAGAUACGAAUGCAGUACGAAUGGUACUUUGUCUAUGUACUGUGCUGGACAGAUAUAAAGUGAGCUAGGUAGUGUGAGAAAUGUCGGAACAUGGUGAAGGCGGUAGUGAUCAUGAGCUUGACCUGCCCUUGUCAGCUAACAUUUGUGAUGUCAGGGUGUCUCACUUUCUCCUCCAUCUCAAGUGUGAUGUGGAAUCUAGAAAGUUGUCAGGUGACAUCACACUAUUCUAUCAACAGGAAAGCUUUAAACAAGCCUGUAAACGUAGGACUGUAUUACAAACCGAUACUGAACUAAAGGCUGUGGAAACUAGCUGUGAAAGCCAUUCCCAACUUCUUCAGGCAAAAACUGACCCAAGCCCAUCAUCUGGACAUGAUCCUGCACCAAAUGAACUGUGUCAACAUGAGUGUGUUUGUAAAGAAACUGAAAAUUGCUCAAAGACUAUGAACAUACAUAAAGAUGAUUGUGUUGUUGAUCAGCCUUCAUCAAGCGUACACAGUAGAAGUACAUUAGCUCAGUGUUCAGAUCAGAAUGUUCUUCAACCUGUUUCUGCUUCAACUGAAACAGAAACUAAAAAUUCAUCACUAAAUAUUCCUAGUCCUAGCCAGGAUGCAGUCAAUAUGGUAUUAGAUGCUUAUAGCCUUGAUGUGACCUGUGCAGAGGAGCUGAUACUGUCACCUAAUCUGGAAAGAAAGCUGUUCUUCGCCAAACGAGGAGAUGUAGAAAGUGCAUCUGGUAUUUAUAUGCAGUGUUACAUGCAAUCCAAAACCAGACCGUUGCAAAUCAGUGUCAGUAAACAGAGCAUCCGACUAUGGGGCGGAGGAGGAGACAUGGAUGAAGAUUGUCAGUCUCGGACAGGGCCUGGUGAGAGCAGGCUUCACCAUCUGCAAGGAGAUGUCAUUAGUGAAGGUGAGCUACAGCCUACAGACAGUGAUGCUGACAUGAAGUGUGCUUCACUAGAGUCUGGUGGAGAUGGAGGGGCACCAGGGGAUCUAGUUUGCAAAAGAACAUGGGGAGGAAACAAAGUGAAUGCUGGACAUCAUGUAUGUGACGGGGGUCAAAUAUACACAAACAACGGAGUGACAAGAGUCGUGAGGAUACACUACAGUACAGAAGGAGGGCCAUCACUGAAGUGGUCUCUGGAUCAAGAUGGAAGGGAGUGUAUGUUCACUGUUGGUCACUGGCUGAACAACCGCUCCUGGUUCCCCAGUCAGGACGCCCCGACUGCCAUGUCCACCUGGCAAGCUUGUGUCACAGUCAAGGAGGGACUGACUGUGCUGAUGACUGGAGACAAGUCCUGUACACCAUCAGUAUCCCAGGGUUGGAAGACCUACUAUUAUUACAGUACAAUGCCAAUGCCCACCUCCACUCUAGCGAUAGCUGUUGGGACUUGGACACAGGUGGAUGUCGUACUGGAGCAAGAUGUGCAAAAGUCAAGUCAGUCAGCAUGUACCAGCCAUGGCCCAACAUGUCCUGUUAACUAUGCUGUGGGACCGGAAGUGCCAUGCCGUGUGUUUGUCUCUGAGUGCAUGGUGCCCUUAGUUCAGCAGGAGCUGGCAGUAUAUGUCCCUCGGUGCCUGAGAGAAGUGUAUGCCAUUCUUGGUCCCCACCCCUUCCAGAGGCUCGACAUCCUCGUUGUCCCGUGUUGCUUUGACAGUCUAGGCAUGGCGAGUCCCAGCCUGUUGGUGCUGUCCCAGUCUGUACUGGUGGGAGACAACUCCAUGUGUUUCCGGGUGGCCCAUGAGAUCUGCCACUCAUGGUUCGGGCUUCUGAUUGGGCCACAAGAUUGGACGGAGGAGUGGCUGACAGAGGGCUUCUGUACAUACCUAGAGGAUAUCAUUCAUGCCAGGGUGUGCCAGUGGGGUGAAGCUGAGAUACGGAAUCGACUGGAGCUACGAGUGUUGCUGAAGCAGAAGACUCUUUUGGCAGAGGUUGAGAACACAGAACAGGACCUCCAGAUGCUCAGGCCAAACAAAGGGGAGCAACUCCUAGCAGCCACUGAGGAGGUUCAGUAUGUGAAGAACGGGAUGAACCCAGACAAGGCCUUCAUGCAAGUGCAUUACCUCAAGGGUUUCUUUUUGUUGCGUCACCUACAGAACAAAGUUGGACUGACAGAGUUCCUGAUCUUUCUCCGCCAUUAUGUGGAUCAGUUCCAUGCCAAGCUUGUUACCUCAAAGGACUUCUUCCAGUUCUUCUUCAAGGAAUUCCCCGAGCUGAGGAUGUAUCUGAGUAUUGCCCCAGCCAAGAAAACAUUCUAUACAGAGCUGUGAAGACACAGGUUGCUCUGGUGGAGUCUCACUGUCAGGGGAUGGCACACUGCCACAGGAAGAAGAAGCAGAAAGUAUCUCCCACAGAACUUACUCUGCAGAAGCUUGACCCUGACCAGCUUGUGCUGUUUCUUGAGAACCUUCUGCAGCU